This 864-nucleotide long non-coding RNA is filed under the name Heterocephalus glaber (naked mole-rat). RNAcentral describes it as "lncRNA (ENSHGLG00000037984.1)". The record is from RNAcentral. Lineage: Eukaryota; Metazoa; Chordata; Mammalia; Rodentia; Bathyergidae.
GAAAACACUUGGGCUGUAGAAUCACAAUUCCUGGAUUCCAGCGAUGCCUCCACACUCAGCAGCUAUUUAAGAUUUUAUAUUCACUGCCACACGCCUGGCACCUGGUGCUCUGUCAGUACUGGACAAAGGAAUGGAUGAGGCGAGGGUCAUUUUACCUGUGUGGCAGGUGGAAUUCAUUAACUCCAGGAAUGACUACAGUCACCAGUCACAGAGGAGCUGAAGGCCAUUGUGUGACAAGUUAGGAAGAGGUUUCUGCUCCCACCUGCUCGGCCACUGGCAGCCAUGCAGCCCUCAACAACGUCUCCGUGUCCUCAUUUCGAAAGAGAACUAGAUUGAAUUCAUUACAUGAGAAGCAUUUCAGCAUACCUCUGACAUAGGUCCCUUGGCCUUUUUAAUUAUCUGUGGUGGUCUAUUAGAGAAGGAACUAGAUUCAUCUAGAAGCCUAAGUCCUAAAGCCGAGCCCAAUCUUGAUUAUGGUUAAUGAAAUACUUUAUGCCUUGUUUUUUCCAUCCCUGGAAUGGGCAGAGUGUAUUUCUUGUAACAUAGUCUCAGGAAGUGACAUAAUGAUGCCCACAGGCAGUAUUUUUUUUUCUCUUUUUAAUCAGCACAAGCAAACAGAAAAACCUUUGUGAGGAUAUAAGCUAUUGUCCUUUCACAUGAAGGAAAAGUACCAUAAGUCUAGGGGAAGUCUGAGCAUCCUGAAAGCUGCUUUAGGGCAGGCCUGCAGCUGCAAGACCAUCCAGUGGAGUGAGGCCUUCUUCCAGGCCUUCCUUAACCAUUCUCCUGUGGUUGUAUUUUCUUCUUUUUAAAAUGGAUGCCGGGAGCAUGUUGUGGUUAUUUACCGGUGGUGCCUCUUCUGUCACU